Molecule: ribosomal RNA, 440 nt
Filed under: uncultured bacterium
Lineage: Bacteria
Description: partial 16S ribosomal RNA
Rfam family: Bacterial small subunit ribosomal RNA
Source: RNAcentral
CCUACGGUGCGCAGCAGUGGGGGAUAUUGCACAAUGGGGGCAACCCUGAUGCAGCGACGCCGCGUGAGUGAAGAAGUAUUUCGGUAUGUAAAGCUCUAUCAGUAGGGAAGAAAAUGACAGUACCUGACCACGAAGCCACGGCUAACUACGUGCCAGCAGCCGAGGUAAGACGUAGGGGGCAAGCGUUAUCCGGAUUUACUGGGUGUAACGGGAGCGUAGACGGUUUAGUAAGUCUGGAGUGAAAGCCCGGGGCCCAACCCCGGGACUGCGUUGGAAACUGUGUAACUGGAGUACAGGAGGGGCAGGCGGAAUUCCUGGUGUAGCGGUGAAAUGCGUAGAUAUCAGGAGGAACACCGGCGGCGAAGGCGGCCUGCUGGACUGAAACUGACGUUGAGGCUCGAAAGCGUGGGGAGCAAACAGGAUUAGAUACCCGGGUAGUC